This 252-nucleotide ribosomal RNA is filed under the name uncultured bacterium. Its description in RNAcentral is "partial 16S ribosomal RNA". It matches the Rfam family "Bacterial small subunit ribosomal RNA", at positions 524 to 776 of the family's 1533-position model. The record is from RNAcentral.
UACGAAGGUGGCUAGCGUUGUUCGGAUUUAUUGGCGUAAAGGGUCCGCAGGCGGUUUGAUAAGUCAGGUGUGAAAUCCAACAGCUUAACUGUUGACACGCAUUUGAUACUGUCAGACUAGAGUAUGAGAGGGGUGAGAGGAAUUUCCAGUGUAGGGGUGAAAUCCGUAGAUAUUGGAAAGAACACCGGCCGCGAAGGCGUUUCACUGGCUCAUUACUGACGCUCAGGGACGAAAGCUAGGGGAGCAAACGGG